RNAcentral lists this long non-coding RNA (456 nucleotides) under Malus domestica (apple). RNAcentral describes it as "long non-coding RNA (MDOM_LNC006127)". Lineage: Eukaryota; Viridiplantae; Streptophyta; Magnoliopsida; Rosales; Rosaceae. The record is from RNAcentral.
CCCUCCUCUAGCAAUCUUCUAAAUCUUGCCCGUGCAAAGGACCGUCUUUCGUUGCUUUCUUCGUCUUCUUCGUGCCGCACCGAUGUAAGAAAAAUUUAAUUUUUCUUGCCUUAUUCUUGGAUAGUGCUAUUGCGGGGCAGCCGUCGGGGUGGUGCGGCACAUCGGCUGGCAGGGGCCAGGAGUUGGCUCGGCAUGGGCCGAGGAGAUGUUGUGGCAGGGACCACUGCUUGGGCAGCUUGGCUUGGCUUGAGCCAAAAGGCAGCUUGUGCAACUACGGUCGCGGAUUGUGGUGCUGGGGCGCAGUGCUAGGCGAGCCGCAUGGCUCAUGUCCUUUGGGCUCUUGGACCUGACUCGGGCCAGGCUGGUGAUUGAGAGAAAUAAGGAGAUUGCGGGUCUCAUGGGCUGCUGGAAUGUUGGGCAUGCAGGCCUCCUGCCUGUUGGAAUGCUGGGUUGAGC